This 247-nucleotide unclassified non-coding RNA is filed under the name uncultured fungus. RNAcentral describes it as "sequence contains ITS2". Lineage: Eukaryota; Fungi. The record is from RNAcentral.
AACGCACAUUGCACCCUCUGGUAUUCCGGGGGGUAUGCCUGUUCGAGCGUCAUUGCAACCCUCAAGCUCAGCUUGGUAUUGGGUGCCAUCUAGCAAUUGUUGGUGCACCUUAAAAUCAGUGGCGGUGCCAUUCGGCCUCAAGCGUAGUAAAAACUUUUCGCUUUGGAGGUUUGGGUGUGUGCUUGCCAGCAACUCUCAUUUAUCAAAGGUUGACCUCGGAUCAGGUAGGGAUACCCGCUGAACUUAA